AAGUCGUAACAAGGUUUCCGUAGGUGAACCUGCGGAAGGAUCAUUAACACUAAUUAAAAAAAGUAAGAACUAUGAGGAUUUUCUUGCAGACUUUAUCGUUUGCAAAAGCUUCCUUUUGCUCUUAUUCCAAAUCUACCCAAAAUGAUUGAAAGUGCUGGUUGAUUUUUUUGUUUCUUCAAACACAAAAAUCACUCAUUUCUUUUAUUUAUCAUAUCAACAACCCCAAAUCUUUUUUUGCUAAUGCAAAUGACAAUUACUAAAAACAAAAAUAACUACUUUAACGUAACCAAACAACUCUUAGCAACGGAUAUCUUGGCUCUC
RNAcentral lists this unclassified non-coding RNA (321 nucleotides) under fungal sp. RNAcentral's name for it is "partial internal transcribed spacer region". The stretch from base 1 to 46 matches the Rfam family "Eukaryotic small subunit ribosomal RNA", at positions 1786 to 1831 of the family's 1831-position model. The record is from RNAcentral. Lineage: Eukaryota; Fungi.